Ceratotherium simum simum (southern white rhinoceros) is the source of this 96-nucleotide non-coding RNA. The record is from RefSeq and is a predicted model, not a curated record. NCBI's taxonomy places the organism in Eukaryota, Metazoa, Chordata, Mammalia, Perissodactyla, Rhinocerotidae.
CCUUAGCAGUGGCACAUUACCACUAUAAGCCUCUUUUAGACUCAGCACAAUGGAGACGAGUGUCAUAAUAUCUGGCUUUGCUGGCUAUUAACAACA